UACGUAGGUGGCGAGCGUUGUCCGGAAUUACUGGGUGUAAAGGGCGUGUAGGCGGGAAUGCAAGUCAGAUGUGAAAUGCCGAGGCUUAACUUCGGAGCUGCAUCUGAAACUGCGUUUCUUGAGUGUCGGAGAGGAAAGUGGAAUUCCCAGUGUAGCGGUGAAAUGCGUAGAUAUUGGGAGGAACACCAGUGGCGAAGGCGACUUUCUGGACGAUAACUGACGCUGAGGCGCGAAAGCGUGGGGAGCAAACAGG
RNAcentral lists this ribosomal RNA (253 nucleotides) under uncultured bacterium. Its description in RNAcentral is "partial 16S ribosomal RNA". It matches the Rfam family "Bacterial small subunit ribosomal RNA", at positions 524 to 776 of the family's 1533-position model. The record is from RNAcentral.